RNAcentral lists this ribosomal RNA (492 nucleotides) under uncultured bacterium. Its description in RNAcentral is "partial 16S ribosomal RNA". It matches the Rfam family "Bacterial small subunit ribosomal RNA", at positions 28 to 507 of the family's 1533-position model. The record is from RNAcentral.
GAUGAACGCUAGCUACAGGCUUAACACAUGCAAGUCGAGGGGAAACGACAUCGAAAGCUUGCUUUUGAUGGGCGUCGACCGGCGCACGGGUGAGUAACGCGUAUCCAACCUGCCCAUCACUUGGGAAUAACCUUGCGAAAGUAAGACUAAUACCCAAUGAUAUCCCACGAAGGCAUCGGAAUGGGAUUAAAGAUUUAUCGGUGAUGGAUGGGGAUGCGUCUGAUUAGCUUGUUGGCGGGGUAACGGCCCACCAAGGCAACGAUCAGUAGGGGUUCUGAGAGGAAGGUCCCCCACAUUGGAACUGAGACACGGUCCAAACGCCUACGGGAGGCAGCAGUGAGGAAUAUUGGUCAAUGGGCGAGAGCCUGAACCAGCGAAGUAGCGUGCAGGAAGACGGCCCUAUGGGUUGUAAACUGCUUUUAUAAGGGAAUAAAGUGGGUCACGUGUGACUUUUUGCAUGUACCUUAUGAAUAAGGACCGGCUAAUUCCGUG